AACGAACGCUGGCGGCAUGCCUAACACAUGCCAGUCGAACGAGACCUUCGGGUCUAGUGGCGCACGGGUGCGUAACACGUGGGAAUUUGCCCUUUGCUUCGGAAUAACAGUUAGAAAUGACUGUUAAUACCGGAUGAUGUCGAAAGACCAAAGAUUUAUCGGCAAAGGAUGAGCCCGCGUAGGAUUAGGCAGUUGGUGGGGUAAAGGCCUACCAAGCCGACGAUCCUUAGCUGGUCUGAGAGGAUGAUCAGCCACACUGGGACUGAGACACGGCCCAGACUCCUACGGGAGGCAGCAGUAGGGAAUAUUGGACAAUGGGCGAAAGCCUGAUCCAGCAAUGCCGCGGGAGUGAUGAAGGCCUUAGGAUUGUAAAGCUCUUUUACCAGGAGUGAUAAUGACAGUACCUGGUAAAUAAGCACCGGCUAACUCCGUG
This 433-nucleotide ribosomal RNA is filed under the name uncultured bacterium. Its description in RNAcentral is "partial 16S ribosomal RNA". It matches the Rfam family "Bacterial small subunit ribosomal RNA", at positions 29 to 507 of the family's 1533-position model. The record is from RNAcentral.